Erinaceus europaeus (western European hedgehog) is the source of this 777-nucleotide long non-coding RNA. RefSeq lists it as uncharacterized. The record is from RefSeq and is a predicted model, not a curated record. The transcript is spliced from 2 exons. Lineage: Eukaryota; Metazoa; Chordata; Mammalia; Eulipotyphla; Erinaceidae.
GGAAAAUGUGUGCGGAGAAAGGCAUGAACAAAAUUUGUUUCAGGAAAUGGUGUCUUGGUGAUACCAUUUCGUUGCCAUUAGGAGGACCCAGGCCUUGCUCUUGCUGGGGUUGUAGCUGAUCACAGGGAUGCCAAACGAGAGGGAAAGUGUUGGUUUGCUGGUAGUGGCGAUUAUGUUAUCUUUUACUUCACAUGGCCCUGGGAAUUGGACCCAGAGCUGUGGACGUGUUCGAGAGGACUGUGGACCUGCCUUCCUGGAGCAAGCUUCUCAUCCUCCACUGUUGAGAGAGAGAGGGGAGAUCUCGCUGAAGGUCCCCUUGUGCUUCUGGCGGUGUCAGAACUUGAACCCAGGGCCUCACUAUUUGAAAACUCAAUUUAGACCAAACGGUCACCCGAAAUAAGAGAACAACCUGUCCACUGGAGCUUCCCGUCUGCUUCUGAUCUCGGUGUUUCAGAGAACCCUCCUGCUGCAGCAAUCCUUUCUUGGCCUGAAGACCCUGGGGCUUCACGCCAGCUGAUGGCUCAUGCAGCACUGGAAACUGUCUUCUGGCUCCUCCCUGGCUUCUCAUCAGGGCCUGACAGUCCCUGAAAACUCAGACAUGGAGAUGCUGUUGCUGCGAUCACGGGGCUGACUGUGUAGGGCAGAGUUUGCUGCUAAGUGAGAAGGCUGGUAUUCAGAUUAAAUGGCAAACUCGCUGUCUCUGACAUUUUAUAACCAUGGAGCAUUGGGCAAAAAUAGCAUUUCAGCCUUAAAACAAACAAACAAAACAAAGGCGGG